CUCAAUAAACAGCAGAUGGCAGGAGGGAUCACUAUCUGAAGGCCAACCUGUUGCAGAGCAUCUAUAUGGGACUCAUCGUGACAUCCACAGAAAGGGGAAACAGUAGUAGGGUACCUUGGGAGACAUCAGUGAAAUUGCCCUGGGAGAAAAUAACAGCAGCAAUAUCUAUCCCCAGCCAGAGAAAUUAAGAGCAGACGCUGGCAUCCAUUACAGCUCCUGACGGAUAGCAGGCAGCAUGCUGAGGAUUCAUAGGGGAACACUGUCAAACACCCUGCCGCAUAUAUAGAAGAACUUCCAGAAGACUUACACAUAAGAUACUCCAACAUAUGCAUAAAUUCAGCACACAGCUCUGCAGAGCCCUAUGAUCCUACAAUAUUGAUUAAAGGAGAGGAAGCUGGGUCGGUGGAUAGAUUAACAAGAGUGCAGCCAGAAACUGCAGGAGAAGCUGCAAGAAAAAAUUUUUGGAAGACUAAUUUAACCACCUUGCUGACACGUGUUUCAUUUGGUCAGCUAUCAACUGGCAUGGUGAGCAUAAUUGUCUGGCUUAAACUGCUACAAGCUUUACCAAGGGGAGCAAAAUAUUUAUAUACGCAUUUUACUGCACAUACCUUGCAUGCACAAUAUUUAAUUCACUUGGCUUGAUGCAUAGUUACUGCAUUUUAAAUAUUUCUGUGACUGUUAAUAGAUAUGUGAGUGAACCUGUUUCAGGGUUAAUCCAAAUGAUUGUUGUCCCUUUAUAUCUUCUUGGAAGGGAAUAUCAGCAGAUCCUAUAACUACUAACUACUGAGACAAUGAUGCCCUUAUACUCCUUGUUAUUCAUAGUCAGGCCAAUAAACAGCAAAUAAGCUGCUGUAAUACUCAAACUGCCCUGUUAAUGUCAACAGAAAAGCUGGGCAUGUGGAUUUACAUGAGCAUGUAUGUCUUUUUUGCCCCACUAACAAUAC
Long non-coding RNA from Oreochromis aureus, 944 nucleotides. RefSeq lists it as uncharacterized. The record is from RefSeq and is a predicted model, not a curated record. NCBI's taxonomy places the organism in Eukaryota, Metazoa, Chordata, Actinopteri, Cichliformes, Cichlidae. The transcript has 4 exons.